This is a long non-coding RNA of Macadamia integrifolia, 690 nucleotides long. RefSeq lists it as uncharacterized. The transcript has 2 exons. Lineage: Eukaryota; Viridiplantae; Streptophyta; Magnoliopsida; Proteales; Proteaceae. The record is from RefSeq and is a predicted model, not a curated record.
UUCGCACCUUGAUUCAUGGUGCUACCUCUCUCCCUCUACCUUCCCGCUAUUUUCUCUCUACAAAUCUCCCUCUUGUUGUCGAAAUUUUUUCUCAGAAGUAUCAAUACCGUUACCACCAUUAUUUCCUCUCUCUCUCUCUCUCGAUCUCUCGAUCUCCCUCUUUCUCUCAAACUCUUUCUCAAAGUGAGAACCGUAACCUCCAUUCCCCCUCAAACUCUUUCCUAAAGUGAGAACCGUAACCUCCUCUCUCAAAAUCUUUGUCCAUCCUAGUGCUCUCUCUCACAAAUUACCCUAACCCUUAGGUAUUCUUUUGAAAGCUGUCUUUAUAUUGCUUCUUGUCGGAAGCAAGGGCACAAGCUGCACGGCAACAGAGCUGGUGGUACAAUCCUACAUAGCUGCACAACUUUAAGGAUCAAUGCUAGCAAUUACUAUGUAUUUGAGGCUGAGAAGAGAGUUGUUUCUUUAGGUUGGCACCAAUAGGUUCAGAGACAAGCAUUUGGGCUUGAUUUUUUAUUUAUUUUUUAUCAUUGCUUUCUAUACUAUGUUUGUAGAAAGUGUAAUGAAACAAAUGGAUUUCAUUAUUGUAAACAUUUUAGUUUUUAAAAGUUGAAUGAAACAAUGAAUUCUUAGGUUAUAUGGAUGUGUAAUUGAUAUAUCUUUUUACGAAAUGAAGAAUGCAUUCAGGUAUAA